GAUGAACGCUGGCGGCGUGCCUAAUACAUGCAAGUCGAGCGAACAGAUAAGGAGCUUGCUCCUUUGACGUUAGCGGCGGACGGGUGAGUAACACGUGGGUAACCUACCUAUAAGACUGGGAUAACUUCGGGAAACCGGAGCUAAUACCGGAUAAUAUUUCGAACCGCAUGGUUCGAUAGUGAAAGAUGGUUUUGCUAUCACUUAUAGCUGGACCCGCGCCGUAUUAGCUAGUUGGUAAGGUAACGGCUUACCAAGGCGACGAUACGUAGCCGGACUGAGAGGAGGGAUCGGCAAAACGGAACCGAGACCAGGUCCCGAACUCCAAGGGAGGGAGGAGGUGGGAAUAUUGCACAAUGGGGGAAAGCCUGAACGAGCCAACCCGGGGGGGGUAAGAAGGGUCUCGGGUUGGUAAAACUCUGUUUUUGGAAAGAAAAGUAGGUGUAAGUAACUGUGCACGUCUGACGGUACCUAAUCAGAAAGCAACGGCUAACUACGUG
This 497-nucleotide ribosomal RNA is filed under the name uncultured bacterium. RNAcentral describes it as "partial 16S ribosomal RNA". It matches the Rfam family "Bacterial small subunit ribosomal RNA", at positions 28 to 507 of the family's 1533-position model. The record is from RNAcentral.